UACGUAGGCAGCAAGCGUUGUUCGGAAUUACUGGGCGUAAAGAGUGCGUAGGUGGUUGGCUAAGUUUGGUGUGAAAUCUCCCGGCUCAACUGGGAGGGUGCGCCGAAAACUGGCUGGCUAGAGUGUGGGAUAGGGAAGCGGAAUUCCUGGUGUAGCGGUGAAAUGCGUAGAUAUCAGGAGGAACGCCUGCGGUGUAGACGGCUUCCUGGACCAUGACUGACACUGAGGCACGAAAGCGUGGGUAGCAAACAGG
RNAcentral lists this ribosomal RNA (253 nucleotides) under uncultured bacterium. Its description in RNAcentral is "partial 16S ribosomal RNA". It matches the Rfam family "Bacterial small subunit ribosomal RNA", at positions 524 to 776 of the family's 1533-position model. The record is from RNAcentral.